AAGUCGAGCGGAUGAAAGAGAGCUUGCUCUCUGGAAUCAGCGGCGGACGGGUGAGUAACACGUGGGCAACCUGCCUGUAAGACUGGGAUAACUCCGGGAAACCGGGGCUAAUACCGGAUAACUUCUUUUCCCGCAUGGGGAGAGGUUGAAAGACGGUUAUGCUGUCACUUACAGAUGGGCCCGCGGCGCAUUAGCUAGUUGGUGGGGUAACGGCCUACCAAGGCGACGAUGCGUAGCCGACCUGAGAGGGUGAUCGGCCACACUGGGACUGAGACACGGCCCAGACUCCUACGGGAGGCAGCAGUAGGGAAUCUUCCGCAAUGGACGAAAGUCUGACGGAGCAACGCCGCGUGAGUGACGAAGGCCUUCGGGUCGUAAAACUCUGUUAUCAGGGAAGAACAAGCAUCGUUUAACUGACGGUGCCAUGACGGUACCUGACCAGAAAGCCACGGCUAACUACGUGCCAGCAGCCGCGGUAAUACGUAGGUGGCAAGCGUUGUCCGGAAUUAUUGGGCGUAAAGCGCGCGCAGGCGGCUUCUUAAGUCUGAUGUGAAAGCCCACGGCUCAACCGUGGAGGGUCAUUGGAAACUGGGAGGCUUGAGUGCAGAAGAGGAGAGCGGAAUUCCACGUGUAGCGGUGAAAUGCGUAGAGAUGUGGAGGAACACCAGUGGCGAAGGCGGCUCUCUGGUCUGUAACUGACGCUGAGGCGCGAAAGCGUGGGUAGCGAACAGGAUUAGAUACCCUGGUAGUCCACGCCGUAAACGAUGAGUGCUAAGUGUUAGGGGGUUUCCGCCCCUUAGUGCUGCAGCAAACGCAUUAAGCACUCCGCCUGGGGAGUACGGCCGCAAGGCUGAAACUCAAAGGAAUUGACGGGGGCCCGCACAAGCG
This 888-nucleotide ribosomal RNA is filed under the name Siminovitchia fordii. RNAcentral's name for it is "bacterial SSU rRNA". It matches the Rfam family "Bacterial small subunit ribosomal RNA", at positions 59 to 931 of the family's 1533-position model. The record is from RNAcentral. Lineage: Bacteria; Bacillati; Bacillota; Bacilli; Caryophanales; Bacillaceae.